UUGGGGUGGUCAUCAGGGUGGUCACUGGGGGUGGUCAGUGACCAGUGGGGGUGGUCAGUGGUCAUUCAAGAUGGUCAGUGGUCACUGGGGUGGUCAUGGGGGGUCAGUGGCCAGUGGGGUGGUCAUUGGGGUGGCCAUUGGUCAUCAGGGUGGUCAGCGCCCAUUGGUCAUCGGGGUGGUCACUGGGGUGGUCACUCGGUCAUCAGGGUGGUCAUCAGGGUGGUCACUGGGGUGGUCAGCACAUCAGGGUGGUCACUGGGGUGGUCACUCGGUCAUCGGGGGUCACUGGGGUGGUCACUCGGUCGUCGGGGUGGUCACUGGGGUGGUCAGCACCCAUUGGUCAUCGGGGUGGUCAAUCGGCCACCCCACCCCCCCAAUCACACCCAAACCCCAUCGUGAAGUGACCAAAGCCCUCCGGCCGCUCCGGCCAGGGGUCAUUUAUUGGUGGUCACUCGUCCGAGCCGGCCGGGCUGCCCAGGAAGAGGCCGGAGUAGCCGAAGGCUGGAGCGGAGCCUUCGUCCUCUCCUCCUCCUCCUCGUCCUCGUCCUCCUCGUCCUCCUCGUGGUCAUCGUGGUCAUCGGGGUCAUCGGGGUCAUCGGGGUCAUCCUCGUCCUCCUCCUCCUCCUCCGGCCGCACCGAGCGGUCAGCGGCGCCGUUGGGCCCACGGUCAUCUCCGGCCACCGGCCGAGAGCGGCCGCUGGACCAUUGGUCAUCCCUUGAGCCGACUGACCACUGGUCAUUCUUGGAGCUCGGUGACCACUGCUCGAUCUUCACCUCCGCUGACCACUGGUCAUCCUUGGGCCCCGCUGACCACUGGUCACUCUUGGAGCUGGGUGACCAUUGCUCCUGCUUCACCUCCGCUGACCACUGGUCAUUCUUCAGCCCUGCUGACCACUGGUCAUCUUUCGGCCCCGAUGACCACUGGUCAUUCUUGGAGCUGGGUGACCACUGCUCGAUCUUCACCACCGCUGACCACUGGUCACUCUUGGAGCUUGGUGACCACUGCUCCUGCUUGACCUCUGCUGGCCAUUGGUCAUCCUUGGGCCCUGCUGACCACUGGUCACUCUUGGAGCCCGCUGACCACUGCUCAUCCUUCACCCCAGCUCCUCCUCCAGCUGACCACUGGUCACUCUUCGGCCCUGCUGACCACUGCUCAUUCUUUGAGCCCGCUGACCACUGGUCACUCUUCGAUCCAGGUGACCACUGCUCCUUCUUCACCGCCGCUGACCACUGCUCAUCCUUGGGCCCCGCUGACCACUGGUCACUCUUUGACCCCGCUGACCACUGGUCACUCUUGGGCCCCGCUGACCACUGCUCAUCCCUCCCGCCGCCCCUCCCUCCCCGGCCCCUCCCCGCGGCGGCCGCCCCCUCCGAGGCCGUUUGGCCUCCGCGGCCGUGGCCGAGUGUCCGGGCGGUGUCCGAGCAGGCGUCCGAGCAGGAAUCGCCGCUGCCCCCGCGCCAGCGCCCACUUGGCCUCGAGCCGCGCCAGCUCGUCGCACAGCGCCGCGUUCUCCAGCACCAGCGCCCGCGCCGCGCGCCGCAGCCGCCGGAAACGCUGCCGCGCGCGCUCGCCCGGACGCGGCCGCGCCGCCGGGGGCAUCGUCCGGCCACGAGGGGACGCUGCGGGAGGAGAGAGAACGGAAAACGGUGA
Molecule: long non-coding RNA, 1651 nt
Filed under: Camarhynchus parvulus
Lineage: Eukaryota; Metazoa; Chordata; Aves; Passeriformes; Thraupidae
Description: lncRNA (ENSCPVG00000017912.1)
Source: RNAcentral